UAUAUUUCCCUCCACAAACCCUAAACCCCUCUUUUUCUGUCUCCCUAUAGACUCUCAUUCAGCGCCUCAAAACUCAGACCCAUCUCUCUCUCUCUGUCUCUCUCUCUCUCUCUCUCUCUCUGUUAUUGCCUCAAAGAGUGCAGAGUCUCUUUGAAGCCAUGGCUUUGGUCCUGCAUGCGGGGUGCGCCAACAAGAAUGCUUUUAAGGCACUUAUUGCUGCGGAGUACAGUGGAGUCGAAGUUGAAUUGGUGAAGGAUUUUGAAAUGGGUGUGUCAAACAAAACUCCUGAGUUUCUCAAGAUGAACCCAAUUGGAAAGGUUCCUGUGCUCGAGACACCUGAUGGUCCUGUAUUUGAGAGUAAUGCCAUCGCACGCUAUGUGACACGUGUGAAGGCUGAUAAUCCUCUCUAUGGCUCUUCACUGAUUGAAUAUGCCCAUAUUGAACAGUGGAUUGAUUUUGCUUCAAUGGAAAUUGAUGCUAACAUAUCGCGCUGGUUGUACCCACGAUGCGGUUUUAUGGUUUACCUUCCACCGGCUGAAGAAGCUGCAAUUGCUGCACUGAAGAGAGCACUAGAUGCUUUGAAUACGCAUCUUGCUUCCAACACUUACCUUGUUGGGCAUUCUGUGACACUUGCUGAUAUCAUUAUGACUUGUAACUUGUAUACCGGAUUUGGCCGGAUCUUGACUAAGAGUUUUACCUCUGAAUUCCCUCAUAUAGAGAGGUACUUUUGGACCUUAGUUAAUCAGCCAAAUUUCCAGAAGAUAUUGGGUGAGGUGAAGCAAGUUGAAUCUAUUCCACCUGUUCAGUCCACAAAGAAGCCUUCACAGCCAAAAGAACCUGCAAAACCUAAGGAGGUCAAGAAAGAAGCAGUGCCACCUAAAGCAGAAGAGGCUGCUGAGGAAGAGGCACCCAAGCCCAAAGCAAAGAAUCCUCUUGAUCUUUUGCCCCCUAGCAAGAUGAUUCUGGAUGAAUGGAAAAGGCUGUACUCGAACACAAAGACUAAUUUCCGUGAGGUUGCAAUUAAAGGGUUUUGGGACAUGUUUGAUCCUGAAGGCUACUCCCUUUGGUUCUGUGAUUACAAGUAUAAUGAUGAGAAUACUGUAUCGUUCGUUACUUUGAACAAGGUGGGUGGUUUCCUGCAACGUAUGGAUUUGGCUCGUAAGUAUGCAUUUGGGAAGAUGCUGAUUAUUGGCUCAGAGCCUCCAUUCAAGGUGCAAGGGUUGUGGCUCUUCCGUGGAACAGAAAUUCCUCAAUUCAUUAUUGAUGAGUGUUAUGAUAUGGAAUUGUACGAAUGGAAGAAGGUUGACAUUAAUGACGAAGCCCAGAAGGAGCGUGUCAGUCAAAUGAUUGAAGAUUGUGAGCCUUUUGAGGGGGAGGCUUUACUGGAUGCCAAGUGCUUCAAGUGAUAAGGAUAUACUACUGAGAAGUAGAUCAAUUGUUAUACGGUCCUCUUUAUGACAAGCUUCAAUUCAAAUUUUCUUGGUUUUUGCUCCAGACAAAAUUGCUUCUUUUCUCAUAUUUUCCCAGUAGUAGUUAAAUGACACUGGUAUCAUCUUAUGUUUUUUGGUCUCAUGACAGUGUGGUGGGAUAUCGAUAGACGCAUUGAAUUAUAUUAGUUGCAAUGUAUUAAUAUAUCUGGGAGAGCAAGCUCAGGUGCUUAUUCCUCCAUUAAUCAUGUUGGAGCUUACCUUGGUCUCCUGUAAUUGUAUUGAGAGGUUGCAAUGACAGUCACUGGGAAUUCUGCACGAGGCACGCACAUUUAAGAUUAAAAAUAUGGCAUUUUGGGUUA
This is an RNA transcript of Quercus robur (English oak), 1789 nucleotides long. It is a transcript of the gene named elongation factor 1-gamma 2-like, with no coding region annotated. NCBI's taxonomy places the organism in Eukaryota, Viridiplantae, Streptophyta, Magnoliopsida, Fagales, Fagaceae. The record is from RefSeq and is a predicted model, not a curated record. The transcript is spliced from 8 exons.